UCCAGACUCCUACGGGAGGCAGCAGUGAGGAAUAUUGGUCAAUGGGCGCGAGCCUGAACCAGCCAAGUCGCGUGAGGGAAGACGGUCCUAUGGAUUGUAAACCUCUUUUGUCGGGGAGCAAAAGACGCCACGUGUGGCGUUCCGAGAGUACCCGAAGAAAAAGCGUCGGCUAACUCCGUGCCAGCAGCCGCGGUAAUACGGAGGAUGCGAGCGUUAUCCGGAUUUAUUGGGUUUAAAGGGUGCGCAGGCGGAAGAUCAAGUCAGCGGUAAAAUUGAGGGGCUCAACCUCUUCGAGCCGUUGAAACUGACGGUCUUGAGUGGGCGAGAAGUAUGCGGAAUGCGUGGUGUAGCGGUGAAAUGCAUAGAUAUCACGCAGAACUCCGAUUGCGAAGGCAGUAUACCGGCGCCCAACUGACGCUGAAGCACGAAAGCGUGGGUAUCGAACAGGAUUAGAUACCCUUGUAAU
Molecule: ribosomal RNA, 466 nt
Filed under: uncultured bacterium
Lineage: Bacteria
Description: bacterial SSU rRNA
Rfam family: Bacterial small subunit ribosomal RNA
Source: RNAcentral